GAUGAACGCUGGCGGCGUGCCUAAUACAUGCAAGUCGAGCGAACAGAUGAGGAGCUUGCUCCUCUGACGUUAGCGGCGGGCGGGUGAGUAACACGUGGAUAACCUACCUAUAAGACUGGGAUAACUUCGGGAAACCGGAGCUAAUACCGGAUAAUAUAUUGAACCGCAUGGUUCAAUAGUGAAAGACGGUUUUGCUGUCACUUAUAGAUGGAUCCGCGCCGCAUUAGCUAGUUGGUAAGGUAACGGCUUACCAAGGCGACGAUGCGUAGCCGACCUGAGAGGGUGAUCGGCCACACUGGAACUGAGACACGGUCCAGACUCCUACGGGAGGCAGCAGUAGGGAAUCUUCCGCAAUGGGCGAAAGCCUGACGGAGCAACGCCGCGUGAGUGAUGAAGGUCUUCGGAUCGUAAAACUCUGUUAUUAGGGAAGAACAAAUGUGUAAGUAACUAUGCACGUCUUGACGGUACCUAAUCAGAAAGCCACGGCUAACUACGUG
RNAcentral lists this ribosomal RNA (497 nucleotides) under uncultured bacterium. RNAcentral describes it as "partial 16S ribosomal RNA". It matches the Rfam family "Bacterial small subunit ribosomal RNA", at positions 28 to 507 of the family's 1533-position model. The record is from RNAcentral.